Non-coding RNA from Paramarasmius palmivorus, 94 nucleotides. The record is from the annotation of a GenBank genome assembly. NCBI's taxonomy places the organism in Eukaryota, Fungi, Basidiomycota, Agaricomycetes, Agaricales, Marasmiaceae.
GGCCUGAUGGUCUAGUAGUAUGAUUCCUUGUUAGGGUUAUUGCAGAUAAUGUGAUCUAUCGAGGAGGUCCCGGGUUCAAUUCCCGGUCAGGCCC